This 253-nucleotide ribosomal RNA is filed under the name uncultured bacterium. Its description in RNAcentral is "partial 16S ribosomal RNA". It matches the Rfam family "Bacterial small subunit ribosomal RNA", at positions 524 to 776 of the family's 1533-position model. The record is from RNAcentral.
UACGUAGGGGGCAAGCGUUGUCCGGAAUUAUUGGGCGUAAAGAGCGCGUAGGCGGUCCGAUAAGUCGGCUGUGAAAGUCAGGGGCUCAACCCUUGAAAGCCGGCCGAUACUGUCGGACUAGAGUCCGGAAGAGGCAAGUGGAAUUCCCGGUGUAGCGGUGAAAUGCGCAGAUAUCGGGAGGAACACCAGUGGCGAAGGCGACUUCCUGGCCUGUUCUUGACGCUGAGGCGCGAAAGCUAGGGGAGCAAACGGG